UUUUCUUCAUGUUUUUUCUGAUAACUUUUCCUGCAGUUUAUUUUUGAUUCAGCUGCACGGUUUUGUGUUGAAAUUGCAACUCGUCAGCGUGGUUGCUGUGUGUUGCAAAGAUGCAUUGCUCAUUCAAUUGGUGAACUUCGUGAUAAGUUGAUAACUGAAAUUUCCAAUCAUGGGCUUCUCCUUGCUCAAGAUCCCUUCGGAAAUUAUGUUGUUCAAUAUAUUAUAGAGCUGAAGAUCCCUUCUGUCACUGCCAACCUACUUGCUCAGUUCAAAGGCCGCUUUGUUCACCUAUCAAAGCAAAAAUUUAGCAGUCAUGUUGUGGAAAAAUGCAUCAAGCAUUUUGGAGAGAGUCGAUCACAAAUUGUCCAUGAAUUGCUGUCUGUGCCUCAUUUUGAACAGUUGCUGCUAGAUCCAUUUGCCAAUUAUAUCAUUCUGACAGUUACCAAGGGUUCCCUUCAUGCUGCACUGCUUGAAGCUGCUCGACCCCACUCUUUCUUACGAACUAGUCCAUAUUGUAAGCGGAUUUUCUCUCGAAAUCUGUCAAAAAAGUGAUGUAAAUUCGUGUGUGGUGGCAAGUGUUGUUGCUCUCCCAAACUCACUAACCUGUUCACUAUUCAGAAGUUUUACUAUUUCUUGGGGCACUGGAUGUAGAAUAGCCUUCAAAAUUUGAAGCUGGUCCUCAAGAGAACCUUUGAAACUUAGUAUCUACGGAUGAUCUCUCCAUGAUUUUGAAGAACGUAAACUGGAAGUUAUUGCUCCUGGUUGUUUAUUUUGCUUAUACAACUUAUAUGUACUGUUCUGUUGUCUUCUUGGUGUUGUUGUUGUCCUGUUGAUCUGAACUGUUAAUGUAUAAUGUUUCACCCUUUCUACUUUUAAUCUGGGUAAAUGCCGUGCGGUAGUUUAUUUCCUCUUCAA
Molecule: long non-coding RNA, 915 nt
Organism: Mangifera indica (mango)
Lineage: Eukaryota; Viridiplantae; Streptophyta; Magnoliopsida; Sapindales; Anacardiaceae
Exons: 3
Source: RefSeq, a predicted model, not a curated record